Molecule: ribosomal RNA, 497 nt
Filed under: uncultured bacterium
Lineage: Bacteria
Description: partial 16S ribosomal RNA
Rfam family: Bacterial small subunit ribosomal RNA
Source: RNAcentral
GAUGAACGCUGGCGGCGUGCCUAAUACAUGCAAGUCGAGCGAACAGACGAUGAGCUUGCUCCUCUGACGUUAGCGGCGGACGGGUGAGUAACAAGUGGAUAACCUACCUAUAAGACUGGGAUAACUUCGGGAAACCGGAGCUAAGACCGGAUAAUAUAUUGAACCGCAUGGUUCAAUAGUGAAAGACGGUUUUGCUGUCACUUAUAGAUGUAGACGCGCCGCAUUAGCUAGUUGGUAAGGUAACGGCUUACCAAGGCAACGAUGCGUAGCCGACCUGAGAGGGUGAUCGGCCACACUGGAACUGAGACACGGUCCAGCCUCCUACGGGAGGCAGCAGUAGGGAAUCUUCCGCAAUGGGCGAAAGACUGACGGAGCAACGCCGCGUGAGUGAUGAAGGUCUUCGGAUCGUAAAACUCUGUUAUUAGGGAAGAACAAAUGUGUAAGUAAAUAUGCACGUCUUGACGGUACCUAAUCAGAAAGCAACGGCUAACUACGUG